UGCCCGGUGCGCAGGCAACGGCUACUUCGAUUUUUAAUCGAGAGGUCGCAGGUUCGAGUCCUGCCCGGCCGAC
RNAcentral lists this transfer RNA (73 nucleotides) under Planotetraspora thailandica. RNAcentral's name for it is "tRNA-Lys". It matches the Rfam family "tRNA". Rfam says of the family: Transfer RNA (tRNA) molecules are approximately 80 nucleotides in length. Their secondary structure includes four short double-helical elements and three loops (D, anti-codon, and T loops). Further hydrogen bonds mediate the characteristic L-shaped molecular structure. tRNAs have two regions of fundamental functional importance: the anti-codon, which is responsible for specific mRNA codon recognition, and the 3' end, to which the tRNAs corresponding amino acid is attached (by aminoacyl-tRNA synthetases). tRNAs cope with the degeneracy of the genetic code in two manners: having more than one tRNA (with a specific anti-codon) for a particular amino acid; and 'wobble' base-pairing, i.e. permitting non-standard base-pairing at the 3rd anti-codon position. Lineage: Bacteria; Bacillati; Actinomycetota; Actinomycetes; Streptosporangiales; Streptosporangiaceae. The record is from RNAcentral.